GACGAACGCUGGCGGCGUGCUUAACACAUGCAAGUCGAACGGAAAGGCCCUGCUUUUGUGGGGUGCUCGAGUGGCGAACGGGUGAGUAACACGUGAGUAGCCUGCCCUUGACUUUGGGAUAACUUCAGGAAACUGGGGCUAAUACCGGAUAGGAGCUCCUGCUGCAUGGUGGGGGUUGGAAAGUUUCGGCGGUUGGGGAUGGACUCGCGGCUUAUCAGCUUGUUGGUGGGGUAGUGGCUUACCAAGGCUUUGACGGGUAGCCGGCCUGAGAGGGUGACCGGCCACAUUGGGACUGGGGUACGGCCCAGCCUCCUCCGGGAGGCAGCAGUGGGAAAUAUUGCACAAUGGGCGGAAGCCUGAUGCAGAAACGCCGCGUGCGGGAUGACGGCCUUCGGGUUGUAAACCGCUUUCGCCUGUGACGAGGCGUGAGUGACGGUAAUGGGUAAAGAAGCACCGGCUAACUACGUG
RNAcentral lists this ribosomal RNA (468 nucleotides) under uncultured bacterium. RNAcentral's name for it is "partial 16S ribosomal RNA". It matches the Rfam family "Bacterial small subunit ribosomal RNA", at positions 28 to 507 of the family's 1533-position model. The record is from RNAcentral.